RNAcentral lists this ribosomal RNA (254 nucleotides) under uncultured bacterium. RNAcentral describes it as "partial 16S ribosomal RNA". It matches the Rfam family "Bacterial small subunit ribosomal RNA", at positions 524 to 776 of the family's 1533-position model. The record is from RNAcentral.
UACGGAGGGGGGCUAGCGUUGUUCGGAAUUACUGGGCGUAAAGCGCACGUAGGCGGCUUUUCAAGUCCCAUGUGAAAGCCCACGGCUUAACCGUGGAAGUGCAUGGGAAACUGGAAAGCUUGAGUACUUAAGAGGAUCGCGGAAUUCCCGGUGUAGAGGUGAAAUUCGUAGAUAUCGGGAGGAACACCAGUGGCGAAGGCGGCGAUCUGGGAAGAUACUGACGCUGAGGUGCGAAAGCGUGGGGAGCAAACAGG